CCUACGGGAGGCAGCAGUGGGGAAUAUUGCACAAUGGGGGAAACCCUGAUGCAGCGACGCCGCGUGAGUGAAGAAGGAUUUCGGUAUGUAAAGCUCUAUCAGCAGGGAAGAAAAUGACGGUACCUGAUCAAGACCCCCCGGCCAACUACGUGCCAGCAGCCGCGGUACUAAGGAGGGGGCAAGCGUUAUCCGGAUUUACUGGGUGUAAAGGGAGCGUAGACGGCAGCACAAGUCUGGAGUGAAAUGCCGGGGCUUAACCCCGGAACUGCGUUUGAAACUGGGCAGCUGGAGAGCAGGAGAGGUAAGUGGAAUUCGUAGGGUAGCGGUGAAAUGCUUAGAUAUUAGGAAGAACGCCAAUGGCGAAGGCAGCUUACUGGACUGUAACUGACGUUGUGGCUCGAAAGCGUGGGGAGCAAACAGGAUUAGAUACCCUGGUAGUC
RNAcentral lists this ribosomal RNA (440 nucleotides) under uncultured bacterium. RNAcentral's name for it is "partial 16S ribosomal RNA". It matches the Rfam family "Bacterial small subunit ribosomal RNA", at positions 338 to 795 of the family's 1533-position model. The record is from RNAcentral.